GGUAAUGGAGAGUUCUUAACUUUGUUCUGCUGAGCAGAGCUGAAGUUAGUACUGAAACAGGGAAGAAAACAGUUUUUGUGCUGCGCAUUCCCAAGAUUUUCAAGUAUUGUUAAAGUGACCUGUGAUGUAAAUGAAACUUUAGUCUUUUUUGUGUGAUGUCUUCAGCUGAUGUGAGUGCUACAUGUCAUUAAGUAUGGUGAUGGAAGAUGGCUCCGCUUAAACUGAGAGUGAAACACAUCUAAUGCUGUGACAUUAAGGACGCUGAAAAUGGGAUCUAUGUUUGCCAUUCUAUUGGCAAUGAAUUGUAAUAAUGAACAAAAUAAGAUGCGACUCAAAUACAAAAGUGCACUAUUCCUAGUAAUCCCUUGAGUGUUUGAGCUUUGCAGACUUCCCCAACCCCAACACUGAUAUGUGAAGAAAACAAAGCUUUUUUUAUUUAGUUAACAAUUUAUGUGUUAUAAGUCUACUGUAGAGUAUGCACAAGGGGAACAAAAAGUAUUCACUUGACCCUCGUAAUUAAGGACUGUUUUCAUUUUGUAAUUUUCAGACCUAGUUUAAUUUCAAAAACUGUUAUCCUGGUUCAGGGCAGAAAAAAAAACCCUGAUUGCUCCAUACCUUAAAUAUCAUAAAAUUAAUCUGUUCUUUGACUACUGCCACUUGAGAAAUUAGGUUUUAGAAGAGCAUUUUUUCUUACGGGCUUUUAAUCCUUUUCCUUAAGAGUUCUUUGUUCUGUUCUGAAUUGUUUUGCUUCCAUUCUGUUAUGUCUGUUUGUAAUACUGCCUAUAUUUAACUUUCCAUUAACUGAUACUGGUGUAGAAAGGAAGUUUAUGAGACUUCUAAUCUCUGCAGUUUUGUCUGGUGGUGGUAGAGAUAAGCAAGCCUGUUAAAUUUUGGCUAGCUCUUGUGAGUUGUGCGUGUGAAUUUAAAGGGCUUGUUCUUAAAUACAGUACUCAAAACUGAGAUUUUUUUUCAGGAUGGUUCUGCUGAAAUACAGGAUGUCUUACAUUUUCAUACAGCCAGGCUGCGUCUUUAGCUGUAUGCAAGUCUAAUGUGACUACGUGAAACACCACAAAUCCAUAGAUGUGUCUUGGUUUCUAGCGUUUUGACCAUAUUUUAUGUUGCUUUUGCUUUUGACUAAACUUUAAUUCUUUAACUUUCCUCAUCUUAUGCUGCAGAUCAGCCUUUAAAAUACUUGCAAAUCAAGUACCUUGUAAAGGCUCUUUUUCAUUUACUACUUCAAUUCAUUUAUUUAUUAAGGGUUAAAGAAACACAGGUUUUGAAUGAAAAUGAUCAAAGAACUCAGAUGGUUUGACAGCAUUUGAAGCAAUUGCAGUUGGUUCUACUUACUAUAGCUUCUUACUGCUGUGGUUAGAGCUUUUGUAACUUAAACUACGUUAUGUUACUGAUAUAAGAUGCUGGUGCUACAAGGCACCUUAGGCUCUGGGUGCAGCCUGAGAGUCUUUUUUUUUUUUUUCUUUGUUAGUGAAUACAGAUUCUUGUGAACAAGCUCUUAAUCUUGGUUUGGAAGCAGUGUAAUGGGGAUUUACUUGUGCACAGUUCAGCUAUGGCAAGAUAUUGCCAGCUACGUGGCAGAGGUGACUCCAGCACAGCACAUGUGACAUGUUCAGGGAGUUGUAUGCGAAAGGAUGUCUGUGGCUAUGGCUUGCGUAAAGUGUCUCCACCCUCUGGAGCUGCUCUCCUUUGCCUGACCUAGUUGUGCUGUUUGUGCGGUGGUGCUGGAAGGAAAUCUGCUCUAGGCAAGGCUCUGGGAGGCUGUGGGAGCUUUGAGUGGUUAUGCAUGUCUGCUCACCGCCAAAUCUAGAGCUCUUUAAAUUUGAACCUCACCAGUGAGGAAAAUAAUCAUUUGUGAAUUACGCGGGGAUGUGAAGAUGUAUUGCUGUGGUAGCAUAGAUGUUUCUGGGACUCUGCCAAGCUGGCAUUUCUCAAAGAGGUGUUUUCCCUGUAGUGCUGCUGUCUUAUGUUGCCUGUUAGUUCAAUUAUGGCCAAUAGCUUGAAGUUGUGCUGCACUCCCACAUAAGUCAGCAGCCUUAAUGGUGUUUUCUUAGGUAGUAAGUAAUUGAGAUGUCUUUGAGAAGCCUGGGAGUUGGCAGUAGUUAGGUUUAAUUAGUAGAUCUGGAGUUGUGAAACUGAGAAUGUAAAAUGUUCUUUUAAGACAUGGAGCUUAAAGCAGAAGGGAGGCAAAUGAGAACGCUCAAGAUUUCCCAUUCAAAAUCAUGCUGAGGGCAGCUUGAAGUCAUUUUUAAGGAUUUUGGCGAUGCUUUUGAAUUUAGACAGCACUACAAAUUAUUUUUCUUCUCCCAAGUUGGAGGUGCUUAGAAAAAUCAGAAUGCAGAUGUGACACCAGGAGGAAGUUUCCAGUUUGUUAUCCUGUCUAUGCAGAGAGCUGCCUGGGAAAUGGUUCUUCUAUGAAAUAGAGCAAGGUGAUUGUGAGAGGAAGGUUCAUAACUGAGCAGAAGCCUGUGAAAAGCAAGACAGCACAAAAUAGGUCAGUGCUCUUCUCUAACUGAUACUGGCUGUCCUCCAGAUGUUUUUGCAGAAAUGUUCAUCUGCUGUGUGUGUCAGCACUUAGCUAUUGGUUUGGGGGCUUUUUCCUGUUCCUGAAAGAAGAGAAGCUCCAGUUUCUGCCCAUGCUGUGUAAUGAAAGACAUUUGACUCCCUGAAUAAUGGUGAAAUGCAGUUGUUUUGCUAUGCUGGUCCAACUCCAAAUAAAAUUUGUUAGGAGGAGCUCUAAACCUAUUCUAAAGAGGUUUAAUUAACAUUUUCUAUAAAAGCUUCGGAGGACCGGCUCCUGGAGUUCAGUCAAAUCAAGUGUUUCUCUUGAAAUAGGAGAAAAUGGUUUUACCUGAACAAUGCAGAGAUGUGCAGAGGUCACACAUUGUUACAGGAUGCUGGUCACAGUACCGUUGUUAAUUACUUGACACCUUGCUGUGCUCCUGAAAUGUCUCACCAUUCAUAUAAACUAAAAGGUAAAACGCAUCUCUAUUCAUUUCUUAUUAGCACUAGAAGACAAAGGGUACUUAGAAAACAGAGGUAUGAACUCAUACCUCUUUAUGAGCUUAUUUCUUGUUUUGCAGGUGACUGAAAUACAUGUUUUUUGAUUUAUUAUAGGUAGUUGGAAUUCUGCAACUUGCAGUUGAAGUAGGCAGACUUGAAAUGCUGCUGUCUAUGGGUUUUCUAUUCUUGUUCGCUUGUCUUAGAAGGGUUGUAAUAGGGGAUUUGGGGAUAGGUGCUUUUUUAAUUUCCUCUCAGAUACUGCAGCUUUAAGCCCAGUUUAAGCGCUUUGAGAACUGAUUCAGCUUUCUGGCUGAAUGACUGCUGACCAGCCCAGGUCUCUUACAUACCAUCAGAUAAAGCCAUAAAAAUUCCAGUUCCAGUUUUGGAACAGAUAAUUAUUAAUGACUGCGUUGUUCUGUAAGGCUUUCUUAGUAAGUGGGGCUUGAGUUCCGAAUGCAAAUGCUGAAACUGAUUUCUGGAUUGUUGCAGCAUUUAAUGUAGGAGCCUCAGUCCUAUGACUGACUUGAGGUGGGGAAGAGGCUGGAAAAUGUGUUGAUGGAUCAGUGCUAAUGUAUAUUCUGGCCACCUCUCUAGAGUGCAUAAUUGGUUCUGGGAGUAGAGUGCGGACUGAUCUGUCUUGCUGUAUGAAGCUCUUGGGAAGGCAGUAUUUUAGGGAGUAUUAUGUUAUUGCAUAUAUUCUUUAUACUGACAGCUGGAGGAAGAGAGAAUGUGAGAGUGAGAUGGAGGCUCAAGCUUUAUAGAUGCCUUAAAUUUCUUGAAUGUGGUGUGAGAUUACUGUUGUCUGAACUGAAAGCGACUGUUAAAUGUACAGAGGAGGAAGAAGAAUAGGCUCUCUCUGCCUUCUCCAGGUGGAAGUGGAUAGAGCAAAGCAAAUGUGGUCACUCAGGUGAGAAUUGCAGGGCUUGCACUGGACACGGGAACGAGGGAAAUUGGAUUGGUUCACUUGAAAUUUAACACAUGUUCUGUGUACAUAAACCCUGCUUAUGAGGGAAAUGCAUCCGAAGCCCAUGCUUCUGUCUGCUGUGGGGCUUUCCUGUUGACUUAAAGUUGCCAUACCUGUUAAAUAUUUUAAUUCGUGUUUAGAAGUUAUUAAACUUGUUUUGAUUUAGUCACACUAACAUAUGAGAAGGAAUAAUAUUUUUGUUGCUCAAUUUUAUAUGUGACUUACAUAUAUAUGCGCGUGUGUGUAUAUAUAUCCAAAAACACACACAUAUGGGAUACGUACUGCUUUUAUUUCUUAUUUGUUGAAUUAAGUCUUGCCACAUGAUGGUUCCCAGAGCAUUAAGUACUGAGGUCUGGUUUGAUGUGGAAGGGAGCAGUUACUCUCUGCCUCUGGCCUCAGCAGAUGGAGAGCUUGUCUGUCUCACUGUUCUUGGAUGGAGGCUUCUCCUGCUCUUGAGCUUCAUGUCUCAAAUGCUGAGUUCCUUUCUCUGCAUAUUCCCCUUGUUUUCCGAACACUCCAUGUUGUCACCACUGAUCUUUAAAUUUUCUCUCAGGUUUUCCUGCUCUGUGAUGGCUGCCAUUCCCUCCAUGUGUGUUACAAUAUGGUUACAUUAGUAGUGCAGAUUAACUGCCAUGACCAGUCUCCUGAUACAACUCCCUGAGCACAGUUAAGAAAAACAGUUCGAUCUGUUGUUUUAAUAGUGAGGCAUCUUUUAGUUCUUUGUUUGCAGAUGCAGCCAGUGAAUAGACGAGCACCUUUUCUAUGUAUUCAGUUGCAUACUUCUGCACAUCCCCGAAAAGGUGACUUAAAACUCUGUUCAUGAAGUGUCAACACUUCUCAUCUGUUUUGGUUAAAUUUGCAUAAUGCCAAAUAUUUAUAGGUUAUUUAAAAGUGGGCAGCAGAAGUAGUGAGAGACCCUAGUGAAGAUGCAUGCUUCUUAAAAUAAGGAAGAAUUAACUUCCCUGACCCUCCUUACAGCACCUAGUGCUUCUCUAGAGUGUGAUAUCCUAAACUUGAAAGAGUAAGCUGGGAAGAACUUCAGUUUUGUGUUCCAGUUGUAGUACAUACUGUCAGUUUUCUAAGCUACUUCAUAGUUGCUUUUUACAAAAUGGACUAGAAUUAGAUUAAUAGUUGUUCCUUUUGCAGACCUUCUUAUUUGUCAGAGUGACUCAAGACGUAAAGAUACUGACCAGUUUCCACUGGAUCAAUUGGCUGUUUGCCUUGCACAGCUUUAGAUCUGGUCCUGAGUACUUUUGUCAGUUUAGGUAAGCCUAGAAUUAACCUAAAUAUUUAAGUGCUGAAACAUAGUGACUGUACAUGCACCAAGUGUUACUGUGGGAUACUUACUGUGUAGAUGCGGAAAGUAUUUUGAAAUAUUCAGAACCCUUUGGGUAUUACAUGUCUUCAUUAUGGAGUCACUGACAUCUCAAGAAAAUUAUGGCACACGGUCUGUUGGGAUGUGUCUUGUUAUCUGAUGGAAUGUAACUUGCUUUGCCCUAUUUUCUUGUAGUACCAAAUACAGGAUAUUAACUGAUGUCUUUGUCUUUUGAGAUAAUUGCCUUCUCUCGUGAUGUGUUGUAGUCUCAAGUUCUUAGAAGGAAUUGUAACUUAUUACUUAAAGAAACUUGAAAAUUCUGUAUCUUUUGAGUUCUUCUAGAUUUGUUUACAGAUGAGUGAGUUACUUAACAGUUAUCAAGUUGUACAAGUGAAGGUUUACUUGAAAUGUGAACAUAGUGCAAGAUUUGGAAGCAAAUACUGUUCAAACCUUCAUUUGAAGUAUAGUUGAAGUCUAAUUAGUUAUUACUGUUAAAUGGUUUUGUUUGUUCCAAGUAUUCCUUUAUUUUUAAUUCUGUAAAGCGUGGUCAGUCUGUCAGUGAAGUGAAAUGCUCAGCAUUAGCAAACAAAUUUCUACAUCUGUUAAUUUAUGAAAGGUGUAUCAUCAUGCUUUGCAAUCAGUAUAGCAAUAAUAAGGGUGAAUGACUACUGGCCUAUGUAGCAGAGGGAUGGCGUUUGGGUUGGAAGUUUGCCAGAAUUGCAUAAAAGGAAAUCAAUGGACCAAAUCUGGGAGGAGACUACUGAAGCUUAACAACACUUCUUUUGUAAUGAAUACAUUUAUGGAUAAGUGAGAUGUUAAUGAAAUCUGCUUGUGCUGCACUGGGCGGAGAUGGAAAGAUGGGACCCCAGUGAUUAUUGUAUACUCCAUUGAAGUGGAGGUAAUUCUGUAAGAAAAAUGCCAUUUUCUUAUUUCAAUUUCUAUUACUUCAACUUCUGAAACUUCUAGGAAAAAAAUCGUGACUUUCAUGCAAGUAAAGAUGUCUGGAUCAUAUGGGUGAGACCAAAGGGCAGACUAAACAUGAUGUUGCAGGACAUAAUGCUUCCAGAACAUAAAGUCUGGGAAAUGCGUGUUCAGCUCUCCAAGAGCUGUGGCCCUUGAUUUCACCCAAUGACAUCGGGGUUUGUGUGUCCCUUCCUCAUGAGUUGCUCAUUGUUCAAGAGUGUCUAGAUGAGACAAAUAGAAGUUGUGGUUUAAGGUCUUUAGUAUCUGAGGAAAUAAUACUACUUUGGCAGUGGUAUUUGGUUCACUCCCAAAUGCUUGUGAUCAAUCCAGUGAGGACCGGUUAUGUACCUGAAGCAGUGUGUAAGUACUUUGUUACUUAAGGAUACUGUGCAGAAUGAGGAGCCAGCAGUCUGUGGUUUUGGCUGGAAGAUCGAAAAAGCCAUGGAUAGAAACUGAGGUGUAUAAAAAGGGUGGAUGCAAACUGGUCUGUGCUUUGUGCUCAAUCCAUGUACUGCAAGUCGUAGUAUGUUGAAAUGGUAAAGUAAAAAUGGGGCAAAGCUCCAAGUGUUUGUGUGUUGUUUUUAAUUAUUUCUUUUGUUCAGUUACGUAUCUUAAUGCUUUCAGUUUCAAGUGCUUGUGUUUUGGAGUUAAUCAUCUGUUUUGUGUUUGGACAGCUAUUUCUUGAUGCUUAUUUCCUCAAAUAUUCAAUUUCCAUACUAUUUUGCAUAAGUGCUUACGUGCAUUGUUUUUAAAACAUCUUUAGGCUACAAGUGUUUGGAGGUAUGGAAGUGUAAUUCUUGAAUGUCAUGUGUAGAUAAAAAAAAAAAUAAUGAAGAGUGUGCAACCUCAUAAAAUAUUUGAGGCAUUUUGA
Numida meleagris (helmeted guineafowl) is the source of this 7128-nucleotide long non-coding RNA. RefSeq lists it as uncharacterized. Lineage: Eukaryota; Metazoa; Chordata; Aves; Galliformes; Numididae. The record is from RefSeq and is a predicted model, not a curated record. The transcript is spliced from 2 exons.